CCUACGGGCGGCAGCAGUGGGGAAUAUUGGACAAUGGGGGGAACCCUGAUCCAGCGACGCCGCGUGAGUGAAGAAGUAUUUCGGUAUGUAAAGCUCUAUCAGCAGGGAAGAAAAUGACGGUACCUGACUAAGAAGCCCCGGCUAACUACGUGCCAGCAGCCGCGGUAAUACGUAGGGGGCAAGCGUUAUCCGGAUUUACUGGGUGUAAAGGGAGCGUAGACGGUGCAGCAAGUCUGAUGUGAAAGGUCGGGGCCCAACCCCGGGACUGCAUUGGAAACUGUUGAACUGGAGUACAGGAGUGGGAGGCGGAAUUCCUGGGGGGGCGGGGAAAGGCGUAAAUAUUAGGGGGAA
This 351-nucleotide ribosomal RNA is filed under the name uncultured bacterium. RNAcentral describes it as "partial 16S ribosomal RNA". It matches the Rfam family "Bacterial small subunit ribosomal RNA", at positions 338 to 706 of the family's 1533-position model. The record is from RNAcentral.